This 1566-nucleotide ribosomal RNA is filed under the name Triticum aestivum (bread wheat). Its description in RNAcentral is "partial small subunit ribosomal RNA". The record is from RNAcentral. Lineage: Eukaryota; Viridiplantae; Streptophyta; Magnoliopsida; Poales; Poaceae.
CUCGCGUGUGAGGACGGCGAACCACGGUCCUUUGCAGAGGCCGAGAGAGAUGCGGCAUGGCGCGCCGCGAUGCAGUUGGAGAUGGAUGCGGUCGAGCAAAACCGCACCUGGGAGCUCGCUGACCUCCCCCGUGGUCAUCGCGCAAUCACCCUUAAGUGGGUGUUCAAGCUGAAGAGGGAUGGAGCCGGCGCCAUCAUCAAGCACAAGGCUCGCUUGGUGGCCCAAGGCUUCUUGCAGCAGGAAGGAGUCGACUUCGACGACGCUUUCGCUCCCGUGGCACGGAUGGAGUCCGUGCGACUUCUCCUUGCGCUGGCUGCCCAGGAGGGCUGGCGUGUCCACCACAUGGACGUUAAGUCGGCAUUCCUCAACGGCGACUUGAAGGAGGAAGUCUACGUGCAUCAGCCACCUGGGUUUACGAUUCCCGGCCAGGAGGGCAAGGUGCUCCGCCUGCGCAAGGCUCUCUAUGGCCUGCGGCAGGCACCCAGGGCGUGGAACGCCAAGCUGGACUCCACGCUGAAGAAGAUGGGUUUCGAGCAGAGCCCGCAUGAGGCUGCCGUCUACCGACGGGGGAGUGGAGGAAAUGCCCUGCUGGUGGGCGUCUACGUUGACGACCUGGUGAUCACCGGCACCAAAGGUGCAGAGGUGGCGGCGUUCAAGGAAGACAUGAAGGCCACGUUCCAGAUGAGUGACCUGGGGCUCCUCUCCUUCUAUCUAGGGAUUGAGGUGCACCAGGACCACUCCGGGAUCGCGCUUCGACAGUCCGCCUACGCCAAGCGCAUCGUUGAGCUAGCUGGGCUCACCGACUGCCAUCCAGCUCUCACUCCGAUGGAGGAGAGGCUGAAACUGAGCCGCGACAGCACGACGGAGGAAGUGGAUGCUACGCAGUACCGACGCCUUGUGGGGAGCCUUCGCUACCUCACUCACACACGGCCGGACUUGGCAUUCUCCGUCGGCUAUGUCAGUCGGUUCAUGGAGCGACCAACGUCGGAACACCAGCAGGCAGUGAAGAGGAUCGUCCGCUACAUAGCAAGGACCCUCGACCACGGCCUCCACUACCCUAGGUGUCCUGGGGCGGCACACUUCGUCGGGUACAGCGACAGCGACCACGCCGGCGACAUCGACACCAGCAAGAGCACGAGCGGGAUCCUCCUCUUCCUCGUCAAGUGUCUCGUGAGCUGGCAAUCAGUCAAGCAGCAGGUGGUGGCCCUGUCCAGCUGUGAGGCUGAGUACAUAGCGGCCUCCACCGCCUGUACUCAGGCGCUCUGGCUUGCUCGACUGCUUGGUGAUCUUCUCGUUCAAGACACCAGAACGGUGCAGCUCCUGGUGGACAGCAAGUCCGCCCUGGCCCUGGCAAAGAACCCCGUGUUCCACGAACGGAGCAAGCACAUCCGACUGAGGUAUCACUUCAUCCGCAGCUGUGUGGAAGAAGGGAGCAUCGAGGCGAGCUACAUCAACACCAAGGAUCAGCUCGCAGACCUGCUCACCAAGCCCCUUGGGAGGGUCAAGUUCCUCGAACUUUGCUCCAGGAUUGGGAUGAUUCAACUCUCCCACAAGACGACGUACAAG